GACGAACGCUGGCGGCGUGCUUAACACAUGCAAGUCGAACGGAAAGGCCCUGCUUUUGUGGGGUGCUCGAGUGGCGAACGGGUGAGUAACACGUGAGUAACCUGCCCUUGACUUUGGGAUAACUUCAGGAAACUGGGGCUAAUACCGGAUAGGAGCUCCUGCUGCAUGGUGGGGGUUGGAAAGUUUCGGCGGUUGGGGAUGGACUCGCGGCUUAUCAGCUUGUUGGUGGGGUAGUGGCUUACCAAGGCUUUGACGGGUAGCCGGCCUGAGAGGGUGACCGGCCACACUGGGACUGAGAUACGGCCCAGACUCCUACGGGAGGCAGCAGUGGGGAAUAUUGCACAAGGGGCGGAAGCCUGAUGCAGCAACGCCGCGUGCGGGAUGACGGCCUGCGGGUUGUAAACCGCUGUCGCCUGUGACGAAGCGUGAGUGACGGUAAUGGGUAAAGAAGCACCGGCUAACUACGUG
Molecule: ribosomal RNA, 468 nt
Filed under: uncultured bacterium
Lineage: Bacteria
Description: partial 16S ribosomal RNA
Rfam family: Bacterial small subunit ribosomal RNA
Source: RNAcentral